UUGGUCUGCUGCUGUCUGUCUAGUCAUGCCCGUACCUACCCACUGAGGCACACCUACAGCCUGAAGCAAAGGGGGCUGCACACCUUCGACGAAAGAGAUCUGCAUGUGAUAGUCUGACCUAAAUGUAGAAGAAAAAGAAAGUGAAGAACUGAAAUCCAUGGAGAAGUCAACUUCGUGGGUGGUGCACUGCAUUGUGGGACUGAAAAGCAUCCUGGUAAAGCAAAGCCUCCAGUCACCAGGAGACAUCAGCAGAGCUGUCCUAUGCAUGUCUCCUUCUCAAACUCCACCAUCCUUGUAACAGCAUUUCUGGUGGGCCUUAACGCUUUUUGGGUGGUUGACUAUGAAUCCCCCCUUCAUCAGGAGCAGUUAAAACAAUCCUGCACCUGUUGACAGGGAUCACUCCAGGACUUGAUUGAACUAUGGAGUUACCGAAACCCAUCAAUACCAAAUUCAUGUAGGAUACAUAGGGGAGAAUAGAGCAAGACUGGCCAUUGUGUUAAUGGUGUUGCUCUUGCCCUGCCUCCCUGAAGACCUACUCUUAUAGUUGUCUCGGUCUUGAUGGACACUGCCUAAAGUCUGAUAGGCUGUCCCUAGGUGCAGUCACAUAACUUUCUCUUUCUUAUCAAGUUUCCCUUAUGUGAAUUACUCAUCUCCAUUGCGACUGCUUUCCAAUUGGCUAUGGUGGAGCCUUUUCUUGGGGCACAGGGAGCGGGGCAACCUUCUGGAACAUCCUUGUUUAGGCUUUGAUGAGAAUGUGCAAUUCAUGUUCUAUAUUUAUAUGUUUUGUGAACCCUCAUGUCCUAGGUGAAGUAUACUGAUCUGUAAACCUGCUGAAUUAAUACCCCACUCUUCAAGGGAUGACUUUAUUAACCACUUAGUGAUCACCAAUACGACUUGUUAUGUUGGUCACUAAGGGGUCUUAGGCUAUGACAUCGCCUUAUUACGGAGGCAAAGUCUAAGCACUGCCUGCCAGGCCUGCCUGCAGUAUAUCUAUAUCAGGCUGCAUCUCUCUUGUGCAGCUUGCUGAUGACUCUCAGUAUGGAAAAAAAAAAAACGCUUGGUCACCAAGGCCCAAAACAGGUUGGCCACUAAGGGGUUAAGAUACUUCAACUCUUUUACUUUAUAGUGGUAUAAUUUCUUUGUUGUCAUUUACCAGCUGUAUGACACUUUAUUCUUAACAUAUUGUCAAUUUUAU
Long non-coding RNA from Bufo gargarizans (Asiatic toad), 1195 nucleotides. RefSeq lists it as uncharacterized. The transcript is spliced from 5 exons. The record is from RefSeq and is a predicted model, not a curated record. Lineage: Eukaryota; Metazoa; Chordata; Amphibia; Anura; Bufonidae.